RNAcentral lists this ribosomal RNA (497 nucleotides) under uncultured bacterium. Its description in RNAcentral is "partial 16S ribosomal RNA". It matches the Rfam family "Bacterial small subunit ribosomal RNA", at positions 28 to 507 of the family's 1533-position model. The record is from RNAcentral.
GAUGAACGCUGGCGGCGUGCCUAAUACAUGCAAGUCGAGCGAACAGAUAAGGAGCUUGCUCCUUUGACGUUAGCGGCGGACGGGUGAGUAACACGUGGGUAACCUAUCUAUAAGACUGGAAUAACUCCGGGAAACCGGGGCUAAUGCCGGAUAACAUGUUGAACCGCAUGGUUCUACAGUGAAAGGCGGCUUUGCUGUCACUUAUAGAUGGACCCGCGCCGUAUUAGCUAGUUGGUGAGGUAACGGCUCACCAAGGCAACGAUACGUAGCCGACCUGAGAGGGUGAUCGGCCACACUGGAACUGAGACACGGUCCAGACUCCUGCGGGAGGCAGCAGUAGGGAAUCUUCCGCAAUGGGCGAAAGCCUGACGGAGCAACGCCGCGUGAGUGAUGAAGGUCUUCGGAUCGUAAAACUCUGUUAUUAGGGAAGAACAAAUGCGUAAGUAACUGUGCGCGUCUUGACGGUACCUAAUCAGAAAGCCACGGCUAACUACGUG